Molecule: ribosomal RNA, 445 nt
Filed under: uncultured bacterium
Lineage: Bacteria
Description: bacterial SSU rRNA
Rfam family: Bacterial small subunit ribosomal RNA
Source: RNAcentral
CCCAGACUCCUACGGGAGGCAGCAGUGGGGAAUAUUGCACAAUGGGGGAAACCCUGAUGCAGCGACGCCGCGUGAGCGACGAAGUAUUUCGGUAUGUAAAGCUCUAUCAGCAGGGAAGAAAAUGACGGUACCUGACUAAGAAGCCCCGGCUAACUACGUGCCGGCAGCCGCGGUAAUACGUAGGGGGCAAGCGUUAUCCGGAUUUACUGGGUGUAAAGGGGGCGCAGACGGCAGCGCAAGCCAGGAGUGAAAGCCCGGGGCCCAACCCCGGGACUGCUCUUGGAACUGCGCGGCUGGAGUGCAGGAGGGGCAGGCGGAAUUCCUGGUGUAGCGGUGAAAUGCGUAGAUAUUAGGAGGAACACCAGUGGCGAAGGCGGCCUACUGGACGGUGACUGACGCUGAGGCUCGAAAGCGUGGGGAGCAAACAGGAUUAGAUCCCCCAGUA